RNAcentral lists this unclassified non-coding RNA (151 nucleotides) under soil metagenome. Its description in RNAcentral is "partial internal transcribed spacer 1". The record is from RNAcentral.
GCGAGUAUGGCCCUCACGGGUCUAAUCCACCACAAACACCUUUGUGAACCAGUCAGGGGGACUCGGCCGUGAAAGCCCAGGCGAUUAGCGGAAGGGUCCUCCUUUGCAAACCCGUUUAGAAGUCUUGAAAGUACUUUUGUAUAAUCUAGUA